This 267-nucleotide unclassified non-coding RNA is filed under the name Glomus sp. RNAcentral describes it as "partial contains 5.8S ribosomal RNA and internal transcribed spacer 2". The stretch from base 1 to 65 matches the Rfam family "5.8S ribosomal RNA", at positions 84 to 154 of the family's 154-position model. The record is from RNAcentral. Lineage: Eukaryota; Fungi; Glomeromycota; Glomeromycetes; Glomerales; Glomeraceae.
GUGAAUCAUCGAAUUUUUGAACGCAAAUUGCACUCUCUUCGGAGAGUAUGCCUGUUUGAGGGUCAGCCUAAAAAAAAAAUCGACAUAGUUGCUGUUUCGCGGUGACAUUCGUCGGAAAUUUGGUCAUCUUAAAUUUUUGUGUUUUAAUCGUCUUAAAAUUUUCUUUACGAUUCCACGUACGUUUUUAAGAUUUACUUCUUAUACGUUUAAGGUAUCGAUCUUUAUUAGACGUGGCCGUUGCAUCGAAUCUAGUCCAUAAAUAUUUCG